Molecule: ribosomal RNA, 500 nt
Filed under: uncultured bacterium
Lineage: Bacteria
Description: partial 16S ribosomal RNA
Rfam family: Bacterial small subunit ribosomal RNA
Source: RNAcentral
AUUGAACGCUGGCGGAAUGCUUUACACAUGCAAGUCGAACGGCAGCACGGGGGCAACCCUGGUGGCGAGUGGCGAUCGGGUGAGUAAUAUAUCGGAACGUGCCCAGUCGUGGGGGAUAACGUAGCGAAAGCUACGCUAAUACCGCAUACGAUCUACGAAUGAAAGCGGGGGAUCGCAAGACCUCGCGCGAUUGGAGCGGCCGAUAUCAGAUUAGGUUGUUGGUGAGGUAAAAGCUCACCAAGCCUGCGAUCUGUAGCUGGUCUGAGAGGACGACCAGCCACACUGGAACUGAGACACGGUCCAGACUCCUACGGGAGGCAGCAGUGGGGAAUUUUGGACAAUGGACGCAAGUCUGAUCCAGCAAUGCCGCGUGCAGGACGAAGGCCUUCGGGUUGUAAACUGCUUUUGUACGGAACGAAACGGUGAGCUCUAAUACAGUUUGCUAAUGACGGUACCGUAAGAAUAAGCACCGGCUAACUACGUGCCAGCAGCCGCGGUAA